CAGCAGCAGCCACGGGAAUACGAGGGGGGCAAGCGUUGUUCGGAUUUAUUGGGCGUAAAGGGUGCGCAGGCGGUUCGUUAAGACAGAUGUGAAAUCCCCGGGCUUAACCUGGGAACUGCAUUUGUGACUGUAUAGCUAGAGUACGGUAGAGGGGGAUGGAAUUCCGCGUGUAGCAGUGAAAUGCGUAGAUAUGCGGAGGAACACCGAUGGCGAAGGCAAUCCCCUGGACCUGUACUGACGCUCAUGCACGAAAGCGUGGGGAGCAAACAGGAUUAGAUACCCGUGUAGUCCCUGUCUCUUAUAC
RNAcentral lists this ribosomal RNA (304 nucleotides) under uncultured bacterium. RNAcentral describes it as "partial 16S ribosomal RNA". It matches the Rfam family "Bacterial small subunit ribosomal RNA", at positions 506 to 807 of the family's 1533-position model. The record is from RNAcentral.